UGUGGUGAUAAAGGCAAGAAGGGCACACCUGUUCCCAUGCCGAACACAGUAGUUAAGCUUCUUAGCGCCGAUGGUAGUGGGACUUGAUCCUGUGAGAGUAGGUCGUCGCCAUGC
Molecule: ribosomal RNA, 114 nt
Filed under: Eremococcus coleocola
Lineage: Bacteria; Bacillati; Bacillota; Bacilli; Lactobacillales; Aerococcaceae
Also listed under: 1 other name
Source: RNAcentral